This 498-nucleotide ribosomal RNA is filed under the name uncultured Glomeromycotina. RNAcentral describes it as "partial small subunit ribosomal RNA". It matches the Rfam family "Eukaryotic small subunit ribosomal RNA", at positions 591 to 1091 of the family's 1831-position model. The record is from RNAcentral. Lineage: Eukaryota; Fungi; Glomeromycota.
CCAAUAGCGUAUAUUAAAGUUGUUGCAGUUAAAAAGCUCGUAGUUGAAUUUCGGGACCAAUUUGUUGGUCGUGCCUCGGUACGUACUGGUAUUAUUGGUUUCUCCCUUCUGAAGAGCCUCGAUGCCAUUAAUUUGGUGUCGUGGGGAAUCAGGACUGUUACUUUGAAAAAAUUAGAGUGUUUAAAGCAAGCAUACGCUUGAAUACAUUAGCAUGGAAUAAUGAAAUAGGACGUUUGAUUCUAUUUUGUUGGUUUCUAGGAUCGACGUAAUGAUUAAUAGGGAUAGUUGGGGGCAUUAGUAUUCAAUUGUCAGGGGUGAAAUUCCUGGAUUUAUUGAAGACUAACUACUGCGAAAGCAUUUGCCAAGGAUGUUUUCAUUAAUCAAGAACGAAAGUUAGGGGAUCGAAGACGAUCAGAUACCGUCGUAGUCUUAACCAUAAACUAUGCCGACUAGGGAUCGGAUGAUGUUAAUUUUUUAAUGACUCAUUCGGCGCCUUAC